CGGGCAAGCUCUGCCGCUGCCGCCGGAGGCUCCAGCUCCUGCGAGUGUACGUUGCACGGGAAGGGGGAGUGCGCCUUGAACGAGUCCGACGACGGGAGGGCCCAGCAGCUGUCGAUGCAGAAUGAGCGGGCCGUCCAUGACGUGCUGGCGAGCUGGGGCGGCCGAAGUGACGUGGCCACUUCGCUAUGGCAGGACGCCUACCACGCCAGUCUGUCUCGCCUCUGGUGAUGAAGUGCUCGGCUCCAGUAGCGUCAGACUGGUAAGAAGUCACCGUCAUCCUAGAAAUUUGCCUCUCAUCCCCUGAUGGUUUGUGCCAGUUCGACGAGUUUGAAGUCAAGUUCAUCGGCAGGGGCCUCCUUGUGGUCACGAGGUGUUUGUGGAAAUGCCACAAUGCUGCUGCACGUGUGUUGCAGUCAAAGAGGGGAGAGUGUACCAUACCAACCGGAUGCUCAGCUUCUACGCCCCCAGUGAGCCUCCCCCAUUUGCUGAUUCUAAAACUGCUCAAGUAUGGUUUGUGAUCCGAGUGGGUCGAUUGAUUUGAUGUUAAUUUGUUUGCUUCACUCUAAAAAGCACGGACACGGGGACGGAAGGACGGGGAUACGCAUACGGGGAUACGGGAUACGGCAUUUUCCAAAAACAGCCAUUCGGGGAUACGGUGAGUAUAUAUAAAAUAAAAUAAAAAUAUGACAUAUAAUAUAGAAUUAAGACAGAAAAUUAAAGAAAAAGAGUUGAGAAUAGAGAAUAUUGCUCCAUUUGGUGGCUCUUUUAUCAAGUGCUUGAUUGAUCCUCGUCCCCCAUGUCAUUGCAAGUUGCAUCUUGCAGAACACAUCAAACAGCAAAGAAGAUUAGAAAAAUAGAAGACAUAACCAGAAGACAAUAUGAACACAUCAAAAGAGUAAAGACUUUUGCUUUGCUCACCCAAUUUGCAAUGCCAUUUGGCUCCCAAUUGCAGCACCAGGACCCAGACGCCCUUCACUCUCACCCACGGAUGAUUGGCUACCGGCUGUGCCGCUCGCAGAUGCCAUGGUUUGGUACCUAUCAGGCCAACAACAAGCAAUCAAUUCCUAUCAAGAACAGCAGCAGCCAUCAGCACAAGCAAAGAGCAGAAAGCAGCAAGCAUCAGAUCCAAUAACUUAGUGCAAGCAAACAGCAGUAGAGCACCAAGCAGCAAGCAGCAAGCAUUUGAAGAUUAAAAGUGGAGGAGUUGAAGAAGAAUGAGGAGAGGAUGCAGCUGGGUUACCUGCGGCUCCGAGGAGAGGCUGCUGCUGCUGGUGGUGCUGGAGGGGACGGUCGCCGGUCGAAUCCCGGCGCGGCGGCGGCGGUGGCGGCGAGUCCAGGCGGUGGGGGCGAGUCCAGGAGGUGGCGGCGCCGUCUGUGCAACAUGGGAGGCAGGGAGGGAGCGCCUCUUCAUUAUGUCGUGACCCUGCAAAAUAGGGUUUCUUGAUGGGCCGAGGCUGUAUUUUUGGGCCAGGCCGUAUCCCUAACGUGUCCCCGCGUAUCCCAGCGUAUCCCAAUCGUUUUUUCAUUUUUUUUAAUUCGAAUUUCGGGGAUACUCCAAAAUUCGCGUAUCCCGGCGUAUCCCGCCGUAUCCCCGUAUCCCGGCGUAUCAGGACGGCAGUUUGGCGAUUCCUGGCGUGUCCGUGCUUUUUAGGCUUCACUCUGUUUAUUUAUGGCUGCUACUUGUUCUGAGUCGUGCAUCUACACUUGGUGUGACUGUUGUGUACAUGAUUCCAAGCAUGCUGUAGUUUAGCAUGGAUUGAUAUCUCGUAUUGGAGAGUUCAAGGGCACAUAGGCAGUGUGCUUGUAUAUCUAAUCUGACGAGUUGAUUUCACCUAUAGUGCUUCUACUUGAAAUGUGAUGAUCCACAUGCUAAAUAUUUGCUCUUUAUGGAAUUCUUGGAUUUUGCCCUGUUUCUGGUUAAGAUAAUAUGAUAAAUGCAGCCUUUUCAGAUCACCGAAGACUUCUCGACAAGUUGGUGUUGUAUGGCCUGGUUGAGCUCAAGGUUAACGGAGACAACAAUUGUCAGUUUCGGGCAUUGUCUGAUCCAUUUUACCGAACUCCUGAACACCAUAGAUUUGUGUGGCAACAGGUGGUCAAUCAGCACAGCCGUAUGUACAAGAAGCAGAGCGCAUCAGUUCAUGCUCGAGCCCCGAAGAAGGUAGCAACGUUUGGGUUUUCCUCAAGGAUGCCAGACACUAUUUAAAGGUUCUAGUGGCGAUGCCGACGGUCGUCGAGAGGUUCGUGGACUGGACGGUGUCGUGUCUGCCGAUGUACGGAGAGGCGAAGCUACUGCUCAUCAUCUACCUCUGGUAGCCCAGCACACGGGGUGCGGGGCACAUGUACGAUGGCUUCCUCCAUCCGCUGGUGUCGUGGCACGAGGCUGACAUCGACCGGGGCCUACUUGAGCUGAGGGCUAGUGCGAGGGACGUGACGGCGUCACAACUCAAGGCGGCGGCUGCCAUCGGUCAAGUGUGGCUCGUCAAGGCUGCCCGCUAUGUUUCGUCGCAGCUGCAGGCCGCGAGAUCAGGCCGGGAAGGCGCCACACAUUGAGGAGUGAGCCAAUUUUUGGAUCGGACCAUAACAACGUGUCUCAGUCUCUGACGUCUAGAAGUAGUGGUAAAUUUUUGAAUUUGCAUGGCAAGGACCACUUACGUAGGUAGCUGACACGCACAAUACUAUGUUUACACUCUUACUUAUGUAAAAGAUAUGAAUUAUACAUGAGUUGCCUCUACAAUGAGGAACUGUGAUAGUAGAUACGACAAUUGUGUGAUAGAA
RNA transcript from Triticum aestivum (bread wheat), 2775 nucleotides. RefSeq lists it as uncharacterized. NCBI's taxonomy places the organism in Eukaryota, Viridiplantae, Streptophyta, Magnoliopsida, Poales, Poaceae. The record is from RefSeq and is a predicted model, not a curated record. The transcript is spliced from 6 exons.